GACGAACGCUGGCGGCGUGCUUAACACAUGCAAGUCGAACGGAAAGGCCCCUUUGGGGGUACUCGAGUGGCGAACGGGUGAGUAACACGUGAGUAACCUGCCCUUGACUUCGGGAUAACUUCAGGAAACUGGGGCUAAUACCGGAUAGGAAUCCUUGCUGCAUGGUGGGGGUUGGAAAGCUUCGGCGGUUUUGGAUGGACUCGCGGCUUAUCAGCUUGUUGGUGGGGUAGUGGCUUACCAAGGCUUUGACGGGUAGCCGGCCUGAGAGGGCGACCGGCCACAUUGGGGCUGAGAUACGGCCCAGACUCCUACGGGAGGCAGCAGUGGGGAAUAUUGCACAAUGGGCGGAGGCCUGAUGCAGCAACGCCGCGUGCGGGAUGACGGCCUUCGGGUUGUAAACCGCUUUCAGCAGGGGCGAAGCUUGUGGUGACGGUACCUGCAGAAGAAGCACCGGCUAACUACGUG
RNAcentral lists this ribosomal RNA (465 nucleotides) under uncultured bacterium. RNAcentral describes it as "partial 16S ribosomal RNA". It matches the Rfam family "Bacterial small subunit ribosomal RNA", at positions 28 to 507 of the family's 1533-position model. The record is from RNAcentral.